CGCCUGUUUAUCAAAAACAUGUCCUUUUGUUUUUAUAUGAGGUCUGGCCUGCCCAAUGACUUGUUUUAAUGGCUGCGGUAUUUUAACUGUACUAAGGUAGCAUAAUCAUUUGUCUUUUAAUUGAGGGCUAGUAUGAAUGGUUGGACGAAACAUAAUCUUUCUUUAAUUUAUUAUUUGAAUUUAAUCUUUCAGUUAAAAAGCUGAAAUGUUCUUUUAGGACGAGAAGACCCUAUAGAUCUUUAUAUUUAUUUAAUUAUACUGUUUAGUUGGUUAUUUGUUUUAAUUAAUAAAAUAUUUGGUUGGGGUGACUUUAGAAUUUAAAUAACUUCUAUUUUAUUUGUUCAUUAAUUAGUGUUUUUAUGAUCCAUUUUUAUUGAUUAAAAGAUUAAGUUACCUUAGGGAUAACAGCGUUAUUUCUUCGGAAAGUUCUUAUUGAUGAAGGAGUUUGCGACCUCGAUGUUGGAUUAGAAUAAGCGGUAGGUGUAAGAGUUUACUGGCUAGGUCUGUUCGACCUUUAAUAUUUUACAUGAUCUGAGUUCAAACCGGAG
This 548-nucleotide ribosomal RNA is filed under the name Acanthaspis sp. CW-2009. RNAcentral describes it as "partial 16S ribosomal RNA". It matches the Rfam family "Bacterial large subunit ribosomal RNA", at positions 1797 to 2621 of the family's 2925-position model. The record is from RNAcentral. Lineage: Eukaryota; Metazoa; Arthropoda; Insecta; Hemiptera; Reduviidae.